GCAGCAUUUACUCAACAAGCUCCAAGGAGCAACAGGAACCAUUCAGAUCCUGUUUAGACAAAACGUUCGGUGUUUUGGUCUCGGGGGGGAAACGCAUGCUCAGAGCGCUGAGAGGAGGCCCACCUUAUUCGUGAUGUUAAACAACCGGAUUUGCUGGAUGACCCCUGAAUUUUGGAGCUUCGGCCCAGGAUAUGAUGUAGCGGUGGGAUCCGGACCUUGUGAAAAAAUACCCUUUUCACGUCGCCCCGUUGAGCCUCUUAAAGCCGUGGCAUGGAGCCCGUGUUGCCAUGGAACUUAGUGAUUCACAGGACACAUUCAUCAAGGGAAUUUCUGUGUGGUGUGUAUGCUCAUGUGUGAGUGUGUGGGUUUUGUGUGUGUGUGAUUGGGGUUCAGUGGAUACAUCCUGUUUUCCAGAAGUUUGAAAUUAAAGCAUACAUUUAUGAUCUAGCUCGUAAAGAUAACACUCGACUACAGACUUUUUUGUGAUUCCGACGUAUCGCGCGACGGCAUAAAAAAAAGCGCAUCCUGGCAGAAAUAAAAGAAAUUAUGACUCUUUUUUAUUAUCAGACAUUUUUAUCCAAAGCCAUCAUAGUGCUGGGA
Silurus meridionalis is the source of this 600-nucleotide long non-coding RNA. RefSeq lists it as uncharacterized. The transcript is spliced from 3 exons. NCBI's taxonomy places the organism in Eukaryota, Metazoa, Chordata, Actinopteri, Siluriformes, Siluridae. The record is from RefSeq and is a predicted model, not a curated record.